This 255-nucleotide ribosomal RNA is filed under the name uncultured bacterium. RNAcentral's name for it is "partial 16S ribosomal RNA". It matches the Rfam family "Bacterial small subunit ribosomal RNA", at positions 524 to 777 of the family's 1533-position model. The record is from RNAcentral.
UACGUAGGGUGCAAGCGUUGUCCGGAAUUAUUGGGCGUAAAGAGCUCGUAGGCGGUCAGUCGCGUCUGCUGUGAAAACUCGGGGCUUAACUCCGGGCCUGCAGUGGGUACGGGCUGACUAGAGUGCGGUAGGGGGAGACUGGAAUUCCUGGUGUAGCGGUGAAAUGCGCAGAUAUCAGGAGGAACACCGGUGGCGAAGGCGGGUCUCUGGGCCGUAACUGACGCUGAGACACGAAGGCCAGGGGAGCAAACGGGG